CCUACGGGGGGCAGCAGUGAGGAAUAUUGGUCAAUGGGCGAGAGCCUGAACCAGCCAAGUCGCGUGAGGGAGUACUGCCCUAUGGGUUGUAAACCUCUUUUGUCGGGGAGCAAAAGCCGGACGUGUCCGGCUGUGAGAGUACCCGAAGAAAAAGCAUCGGCUAACUCCGUGCCAGCAGCCGCGGUAAUACGUAGGAUGCGAGCGGUAUCCGGAUUUAUUGGGGUUAAAGGGUGCGCAGGCGGAUUUUUAAGUCAGCGGUCAAAUCGUGGGGCUCAACCCCAUCCAGCCGUUGAAACUGGGGAUCUAGAGUGUGCGAGAGGUAUGCGGAAUGCGUGGUGUAGCGGUGAAAUGCAUAGAUAUCACGCAGAACCCCGAUUGCGAAGGCAGCAUACCGGUGCACAACUGACGCUCAGGCACGAAAGCGUGGGUAUCGAACAGGAUUAGAUACCCCAGUAGUC
Molecule: ribosomal RNA, 458 nt
Filed under: uncultured bacterium
Lineage: Bacteria
Description: partial 16S ribosomal RNA
Rfam family: Bacterial small subunit ribosomal RNA
Source: RNAcentral